This 904-nucleotide small RNA is filed under the name Pan troglodytes (chimpanzee). Its description in RNAcentral is "retained intron". The record is from RNAcentral. Lineage: Eukaryota; Metazoa; Chordata; Mammalia; Primates; Hominidae.
GGUGCCCCGGCCUUGGAGUAGCUCCCCAGGCCCGGGCGCUCGCCGCCUUAGUACCCGGAGUGACCCAGGUAGAUAACAAGUCCGGUUUCCUGCAGAAGAGGCCUCAUCGCCAGCACCCUGGCAUCCUAAAGCUGCCGCACGUGCGGCUGCCACAGGCACUGGCUAACGGUGCCCAGUUAUUGCUACUUGGUGAGUAACGGCGGGAAAGCGAGAAGAAACGGGACUGGACCUACAUGCAAGUGAUUCCGCUUUUCAUCUUUGGCCCAUAGGGAGCGCUGGGCCCACUAUGGAGAAUCAGGUGCAAACACUGACCAGUUAUCUCUGGAGCAGACAUUUGCCUGUAGAGCCAGAGGAGUUGCAAAGACGGGCUAGGCAUCUUGAGAAAAAAUUCCUGGAAAACCCAGACUUAUCUCAGACAGAGGAGAAACUUCGUGGAGCAGUGCUACAUGCACUACGUAAAACUACCUACCAUUGGCAAGAACUGAGCUACACUGAGGGACUGAGCCUGGUGUAUAUGGCAGCAAGACUGGAUGGUGGCUUUGCAGCAGUCUCCAGAGCAUUCCAUGAGGUGAAAGUCCCUUAACUUCCAACCUGAACUUUUUGACCAUCAGUUCCCUAUUCAUAAAGUAGUUUUCUAGGAUGGGGAUUCUUGGGACAUUGCAUAUGCAUUUUUUUUUUAAAGAGGAUCUCCGCUGGACAUAGUGGGCUCCUGCCUGCAGUCCCAACUGUUUGGGAGGCUGAGGCAGGAGGAUUGCUUGAGCCAGUUUGAGGCUGCAGUGAGCUGUGAUCUCCACUGUACUCCAGCCUGGUGACAGAGUGAGACCUCAUCUCUUAAAAAAAACACAAAAUAAAGACGUUCUCUUUAUCCUGUGAAAGCUUUCUGUGACCCAAGAAAGGUUUAGAA